This 830-nucleotide long non-coding RNA is filed under the name Androctonus crassicauda. Lineage: Eukaryota; Metazoa; Arthropoda; Arachnida; Scorpiones; Buthidae. The record is from RNAcentral.
AUUUAUUAAAACAUUUUAAAGUGACUUUCAAAUAUUUUUUCAUGAAAAACUUGUAAUAUUUUUUGAAUCUAUUCAUGGUUUAAACUGGAUCGGUUUUUUCUAAAAUUCCAAAAUUUUUUUUUCAGAAUAUCUUUUAUAUACUCUUGUGAUUAUAUUAAAUAUGAUAUGAGCUGCAGAAAAGGACAUAUCAGGUUGCAAGUUUGAAAUCAUUGAUUUAAAGGGACCCUAUAGAUUUUUUAUUUAAGUUUCCUCUAUAAGAUGAAAGUUAAUUCAUUUCAGUAUGUUAAAGUAUCUGAUGAUUCUGUUGACAAAGAUGAAAUGGCUCAUAUCUGUCAGGCAAUAGCUGAUUAAUAAAAACUGAUUAAUUGACAAAUAUAAUCAAUUACUAAUUAUCUACUGAUUAAUUAAUAAUCAGUAGAUAACUAGUAAUUUCUUAAUGGAAACUAUAUUAAAACUGUGUGAACAAGGUUCUAUAUUCUUUUCUGAUGAAUAAUUAUAGCAUAUUUUUAUCAGAGAGAUGUAUACAUAGAUUUAACUCUAAAAAAUUGAAGCAUAAAAGUGAGAAGAAAAGGGAAGGAUCCUGCCAGAAGUGUGACAAAUCACUAGUAGAAAAAAAAUGCAUUUUAAUUGCAUCACAUGAUAUACAGAUGAGACAAUGGGGGAAAUCUAUCUUAUUCAAAUAUAAAUUGUGAAUGAUACAUUUCUGAUAACCAGAAAAUUGAAUCAAAAUCUUAGUCAUUGGUAUUGUAGUAUAUUCAUAUCAUUAAAUUUUUAAUUUUCUUUUCUAAAGUUAUAGUAUUCUCUGUGUAAAUAAAAGAUAAUGUAUUAAC